RNAcentral lists this ribosomal RNA (658 nucleotides) under Bacillus sp. CH108_3D. RNAcentral's name for it is "bacterial SSU rRNA". It matches the Rfam family "Bacterial small subunit ribosomal RNA", at positions 51 to 748 of the family's 1533-position model. The record is from RNAcentral. Lineage: Bacteria; Bacillati; Bacillota; Bacilli; Caryophanales; Bacillaceae.
AUACAUGCAGUCGAGCGGACCUUUUAAAGCUUGCUUUUGAAAGGUCAGCGGCGGACGGGUGAGUAACACGUGGGCAACCUGCCUGUAAGACUGGGAUAACUUCGGGAAACCGGAGCUAAUACCGGAUAAUAUAAAGAACCUCCUGGUUCUUUAUUGAAAGAUGGUUUCGGCUAUCACUUACAGAUGGGCCCGCGGCGCAUUAGCUAGUUGGUGAGGUAAUGGCUCACCAAGGCGACGAUGCGUAGCCGACCUGAGAGGGUGAUCGGCCACACUGGGACUGAGACACGGCCCAGACUCCUACGGGAGGCAGCAGUAGGGAAUCUUCCACAAUGGACGAAAGUCUGAUGGAGCAACGCCGCGUGAGCGAUGAAGGCCUUCGGGUCGUAAAGCUCUGUUGUUAGGGAAGAACAAGUGCGAGAGUAACUGCUCGCACCUUGACGGUACCUAACCAGAAAGCCACGGCUAACUACGUGCCAGCAGCCGCGGUAAUACGUAGGUGGCAAGCGUUGUCCGGAAUUAUUGGGCGUAAAGCGCGCGCAGGUGGUCCUUUAAGUCUGAUGUGAAAGCCCACGGCUCAACCGUGGAGGGUCAUUGGAAAUUUCGGGGGGGGGGGGGCAUAUCUCCAAUACACCGAAGCAGCUCAUGGUCUUUGACGCUC